AUUUUUAUAGUUUAUUAAAACAUUACAUUUUCAAUGUAAAAAUAAAGAGAUUCUUUUUUAAAUU
This 64-nucleotide transfer RNA is filed under the name Puliciphora borinquenensis. Its description in RNAcentral is "tRNA-Glu". The record is from RNAcentral. Lineage: Eukaryota; Metazoa; Arthropoda; Insecta; Diptera; Phoridae.